UACAGAGGUCCCAAGCGUUGUUCGGAUUCACUGGGCGUAAAGGGUGCGCAGGUGGCCAGGCAAGUCGGAUGUGAAAGCUCCGGGCUCAACCCGGAAACCGCAUUGGAAACUGCCUGGCUGGAGGUUUGGAGGGGGGACUGGAAUUCUCGGUGUAGCAGUGAAAUGCGUAGAGAUCGAGAGGAACACCAGUGGCGAAGGCGAGUCCCUGGACAACACCUGACACUGAGGCACGAAAGCCGGGGGAGCAAACAGG
This 253-nucleotide ribosomal RNA is filed under the name uncultured bacterium. RNAcentral describes it as "partial 16S ribosomal RNA". It matches the Rfam family "Bacterial small subunit ribosomal RNA", at positions 524 to 776 of the family's 1533-position model. The record is from RNAcentral.